UCUCUUUCUUUUCAUCUAAAAAAAAGCUCAGAGUAUUUAUGGAAACAAGGAGAGAGAAAGCUAGAGAGAGAAAAUAUGUCUUCCUUCAACAACAAUGGCGAUGAGCUCAAAACCACCUAUCAUCCCUUCGACGAUGGUUAUGGGAGCUUGUGGAAGAUGAUAUUUGAUGUCGUUUUCUCCGAUCUUCAGGAUUCGUGGUGGAGGUGGUAUUCCGAAUCUCUCUCACACUCACUCUCUAAAUUUACCAUUGGAGCAGUUUUUGAGUUUAGUUUUUUUCUUUGAAUUAGCUGAUCAAUUACCACUCCUCUCUUGUGAAUUCGAUUCCUCCAGUUUCGGCCCGCCGUCUCCGAGGUUCCCGUUCAGUCUGAGAUUGUGUUUCAAUUUCCUCCAUUAUAGCAGCUUCUUGAGAUAAGAUCUCUAUCCUUUUUAUAAUCAUCUAAUAUCAAUUUUGACAAUCUUUUAACAGUAAUCCUUUUUUGUGCUACGUUUCUUCAUUAAGCUUCUUAAUUAAUUUUCUCAAAUUCGAUUAAUAACUCGAACUAUUUUUAAAUGAAUGAGUGGUGAUGAAACCUAAGAAAGGGAAAAAGAGGAGAGAAACUGCGAUGAACGGCGCUGGAAAUAAUGGUGGUUGGGAAGUUUCUGCCAUCAAUUUGAUGAAACUCAGAAAUUUGUAAGUGUCAGGGCUGCUGGAGCAAAUGCGGAGCUUAUACGAGGAAAGAGCCUUUGAUAAUAUUGUCAUAUCACCUGGCCCUGGUCUGCAAUCUGGGCUGCUAAUAUAGGUGAGAGUCGUGAGACUCUUCUGCUCAACAUGCUUUCAAUAGAAGUUAUGAAAGUCACUUUAAUUUUUUACUUAUUCAUAUGUUUGAACUGUGCUUGUUUCCAAGAUUUAUUGAGCCGAUUUAUAAAAUUUAGUAAUGAUAUGUUUGUCCAAAAUUAAUUAAUGCUGCAAUCUUAUAUAGUUAUUGCUUAACCCUGAUGUUAUUGCUUAAUCCUUAGUGUCUGCUAGAACUAAGAUCUUAUACAACACAUCUGAUAUGCUCCUCUCCUUUUGAAUUCAAUCAAGAUGAAACCCACUCAAAAAAGGUUGGUGACCUGCAGCUACUGUUGUAAUGUAGUUGAGAAUUGACUUUGAAAUAAACUUCUCUUACUUAGCUGAUGACUUUAUGAGAAGUAUAUUCUAUUAAGCUUUUGAUUGCUCUCUUCUCUUAUUUUAUAUCGUUUUCUCUAUCUGUUGACGGCUCUGAAUAUCCUCUUGUUGAUUUCAUGUCUAUCUUUAUUUCGUUAUUUUACAACAGCUUUGGUGAAUAAGUUUCAUAUGUAUUUGUAUUUCAUCAUUUGAAAACGGCUUUGGUGACUGGUUUGCCUUAAUGAAAAGCAAAGAAAGAGAGAUAAUCAGGAUAUUUGGAUUUGCAAGCAAGUUGUUUCAGCAGAAAAAGCUAUAAUGGUUUAAUUUAUGACGCUAUUAUCCUGUUUUAUGUUUUUGAAUUCCUUGAACCUAGGAACCCUGUAGAUUUUGUGAAAAUACUCUAUAUUUUUAUUUUCAAUAAACAUAAAACCUUCUUUUCCAAUAUAAUUACCGGUGGUGGUGUGGUUUAUUUAUUUAUUUAUAUCAUAUCUUAUCACCAACGACCAUGGGUUAUCUUUUUCAUUUACCAGUCUACACAAUCAAGAAAAAUUGUCUUAAUUGAGGAGUUGAAGUUUAUGGAUUAUAUUAUUGCGCUUGUCUAUUAUUUAUUAUAUUGGUAAGUAUAUCCUUUAUAACUGCAGUCAUUUGAUGUAGUCUUCAAUUAGGGAUGGAAUCUCACAGUCAUACGAACUCACCC
Long non-coding RNA from Chenopodium quinoa (quinoa), 1823 nucleotides. RefSeq lists it as uncharacterized. NCBI's taxonomy places the organism in Eukaryota, Viridiplantae, Streptophyta, Magnoliopsida, Caryophyllales, Amaranthaceae. The transcript is spliced from 4 exons. The record is from RefSeq and is a predicted model, not a curated record.